UACGUAGGGUGCGAGCGUUAAUCGGAAUUACUGGGCGUAAAGCGUGCGCAGGCGGUUAUGCAAGACAGAUGUGAAAUCCCCGGGCUCAACCUGGGAACUGCAUUUGUGACUGCAUGGCUGGAGUGCGGCAGAGGGGGAUGGAAUUCCGCGUGUAGCAGUGAAAUGCGUAGAUAUCUGGAGGAAUACCGGUGGCGAAGGCGGCAUCCUGGACCGGCAUUGACGCUGAGGAGCGAAAGCUAGGGGAGCAAACAGG
Molecule: ribosomal RNA, 253 nt
Filed under: uncultured bacterium
Lineage: Bacteria
Description: partial 16S ribosomal RNA
Rfam family: Bacterial small subunit ribosomal RNA
Source: RNAcentral